This 754-nucleotide ribosomal RNA is filed under the name uncultured Glomus. RNAcentral's name for it is "SSU rRNA". It matches the Rfam family "Eukaryotic small subunit ribosomal RNA", at positions 338 to 1092 of the family's 1831-position model. The record is from RNAcentral. Lineage: Eukaryota; Fungi; Glomeromycota; Glomeromycetes; Glomerales; Glomeraceae.
GGCCUACCAUGGUGGUAACGGGCAACGGGGUGUUAGGGCACGACACCGGAGAGGGAGCCUGAGAAACGGCUACCACAUCCAAGGAAGGCAGCAGGCGCGCAAAUUACCCAAUCCCGACACGGGGAGGUAGUGACAAUAAAUAACAAUACAGGGUUCUUUUGGAUCUUGUAAUUGGAAUGAGUACAAUUUAAAUCUCUUAACGAGGAACAAUUGGAGGGCAAGUCUGGUGCCAGCAGCCGCGGUAAUUCCAGCUCCAAUAGCGUAUAUUAAAGUUGUUGCAGUUAAAAAGCUCGUAGUUGAAUUUCGGGGUCAAUAUUUCGGUCAUGCCGUUGGUAUGCACUGUUAUCAUUGACUUCUCACCUUCUAAAGAACCGUGAUGCCAUUAAUUUGGUGUUACGGGGAAUUAGGACUGUUACCUUGAAAAAAUUAGAGUGUUUAAAGCAGGCUCACGCUUGAAUACAUUAGCAUGGAAUAAUGAAAUAGGACAUCCGAUUCUAUUUUGUUGGUUUCUAGGAUCGAUGUAAUGAUUAAUAGGGAUAGUUGGGGGCAUUAGUAUUCAAUUGUCAGAGGUGAAAUUCUUGGAUUUAUUGAAGACUAACUACUGCGAAAGCAUUUGCCAAGGAUGUUUUCAUUAAUCAAGAACGAAAGUUAGGGGAUCGAAGACGAUCAGAUACCGUCGUAGUCUUAACCAUAAACUAUGCCGACUAGGGAUCGGAUGAUGUUAAUUUUUUAAUGACUCAUUCAGCGCCUUACG